This 489-nucleotide ribosomal RNA is filed under the name uncultured soil bacterium. RNAcentral's name for it is "bacterial SSU rRNA". It matches the Rfam family "Bacterial small subunit ribosomal RNA", at positions 26 to 513 of the family's 1533-position model. The record is from RNAcentral.
AGAUUGAACGCUGGCGGCAUGCCUUACACAUGCAAGUCGAACGGCAGCACGGACUUCGGUCUGGUGGCGAGUGGCGAACGGGUGAGUAAUAUAUCGGAACGUACCCUGGAGUGGGGGAUAACGCAGCGAAAGUUGCGCUAAUACCGCAUACGAUCUACGGAUGAAAGUGGGGGCUCGCAAGACCUCAUGCUCGUGGAGCGGCCGAUAUCUGAUUAGCUAGUUGGUAGGGUAAAAGCCUACCAAGGCAUCGAUCAGUAGCUGGUCUGAGAGGACGACCAGCCACACUGGGACUGAGACACGGCCCAGACUCCUACGGGAGGCAGCAGUGGGGAAUUUUGGACAAUGGGGGCAACCCUGAUCCAGCAAUGCCGCGUGAGUGAAGAAGGCCUUCGGUGUAAAGCUCUUUGUCUAGGAAGAAACGGUAGAAGGCUAAUAUCCUUUGCUAAUGACGGUACCUGAAGAAUAAGACACCGCUAACUACGUGCAGCA